Molecule: small nucleolar RNA, 103 nt
Filed under: Mus pahari (shrew mouse)
Lineage: Eukaryota; Metazoa; Chordata; Mammalia; Rodentia; Muridae
Description: snoRNA (MGP_PahariEiJ_G0034841.1)
Rfam family: Small nucleolar RNA SNORA26
About the family: The snoRNA HBI-6 belong to the H/ACA family of snoRNAs, guiding the pseudouridylation of position U4522 if the 28S rRNA. HBI-6 is the human orthologue of mouse MBI-6 snoRNA.
Source: RNAcentral
GUGCCCUUUCUAGGCUGACACAGUCCUGUAAGAGGCUAGCACAGAUGGGUAGAGGAAAUCUCUAUAAACUCAGAAAAGGCGCUGCAAACCUCCAGCCACAGCU